Molecule: long non-coding RNA, 692 nt
Organism: Salvia miltiorrhiza (redroot sage)
Lineage: Eukaryota; Viridiplantae; Streptophyta; Magnoliopsida; Lamiales; Lamiaceae
Exons: 3
Source: RefSeq, a predicted model, not a curated record
UCUCCCAAUAACAAUAUCUCUCCCACGUUCUCUCCCCCAAUAACAAAUUUCUCUCUUUCAGUCCAACAUGGUUUUCUCGCAACAACAAUUAUAUCUCUCACACGCCCAAUACGGUUCUCUCGCAAUAUCUAUGAAGCAACAAUGAAUUCUCAAAAAUUAAUGCAAUUUUCUCAAACUACUCUCCAUCCAUUUAUGCACAAGGAUGCGGUUGUUUUCGAUUAUUGAAGCACAUGGAAGAGGCAAGGGCAUAUGACAAGAAUGAUGGAAAACAUGCAUUCAAUGUUUAAUGAUCAAGAGAUGAAGAACAUGUGACCAGAUUUGAGAGCGACAACAUGAACGACACAUUUGGUGAUGAUCAAGACGUCAAACUGUCGAGGAAGAAGAAAUCUACCGGCCCUGGAUGCAAUUCGUUGCCCCAUCGUCUUUCUAUUCCCGUAGCACACCCUCCUCAUCUCUCCAAUUUUGAAAUCACGAAAAUGCGUGGCUACAUCUGAAAUUAAGCCUCUAUCUUAAAGUUGAUAGGUGUUGCUCCAAUUUCAAGCGACCAAUCGGCUGUUUCCAGCAAUUGAAUGGGGGAAAGUUUGGGCUCGCUUCAGGGAUUGUAAAUUCGAUGACAAAAGAUGGAGAAAUUUUGAGGCGUGGAGUAUAUAUCCUCAAGAAAUUGAAAGUGAUUUGGAUGUAAAGCUAUGGUU